Molecule: ribosomal RNA, 115 nt
Filed under: Ochotona princeps (American pika)
Lineage: Eukaryota; Metazoa; Chordata; Mammalia; Lagomorpha; Ochotonidae
Source: RNAcentral
CUAUGGCCAUACCACCCUGAACAUGCUUGAUCUCAUCUGAUCUUGGAAGCUAAGCAGGGUCAGGCCUGGUUAUUACUUGGAUGGGAGAAGUGGAGCAACUGGGACACUAACUAGC